UGUGGUUAGGGGUGAAAUGCCAAUCGAACCCGGAGCUAGCUGGUUCUCCCCGAAAUACGUUGAGGCGUAGCGUCUAGUGCUCCAGCAGGGGGGUAAAGCAACCAUUUCGGUGCGGGCUGCGAAAGCGGUACCAAAUCGAUAUGAACUCUGAAUACCCUGUGUGUAACUAGGCAGUCAGACUGUGGGGGAUAAGCUCCAUAGUCAAGAGGGAAACAGCCCAGACCGCCAGCUAAGGUCCCAAAAUUAACGCUAAGUGAUAAAGGAGGUGGGAUUGCCCAGACAACCAGGAGGUUUGCCUAGAAGCAGCCAUCCUCAAAGGAGUGCGUAAUAGCUCACUGGUCGAGCGAUCCUGCGCCGAAAAUGAACGGGGCUAAGCGUUAUACCGAAGCUGCGGAUAAAUUUAUUUAUGGUAGGGGAGCGUUCUAUGUAGGGUGAAGCGUUAGCGUAAGCGGACGUGGACAGCAUAGAAGUGAGAAUGUCGGCUUGAGUAGCGAAAACAUGGGUGAGAAUCCCAUGCCCCGAAACCCUAAGGGUUCCUCCGGCAGGCUCGUCCGCGGAGGGUUAGUCUGGACCUAAGGCGAGGCCGAAAGGCGUAGUCGAUGGAUAACAGGUCAAUAUUCCUGUACCAGAUGUGUUUUGAGAAGGGGGACGGAGAAGGCUAACCAGGCCAGAUGUUGGUUACUGGUUCAAGCGUUCGAGGCUUUGAGAGAUGGAGAAAACAUCUUGAGCUAAGGCGUGAGUACGAGCUGCUACGGCAGCGAAGUUGGUGAUGUCAUGCUUCCAAGAAAAGCCCUAUACUCGUUAAGACACAAAUGCCAGUACCCGAAACCGACACAGGUGGGGUGGUAGAGAAUACCGAGGGGCGCGAGAUAACUCUCUCUAAGGAACUCGGCAAAAUGGCCCCGUAACUUCGGGAGAAGGGGUGCCAGCGAGAGCUGGUCGCAGUGAAGAGGCGCAAGCGACUGUUUACCAAAAACACAGGUCUCCGCUAAGUCGCAAGACGAUGUAUGGGGGCUGACACCUGCCCAGUGCCGGAAGGUUAAGGAAGCUGGUUAGCUUUUAGUGAAGCUGGCGACUGAAGCCCCGGUGAACGGCGGCCGUAACUAUAACGGUCCUAAGGUAGCGAAAUUCCUUGUCGGGUAAGUUCCGACCCGCACGAAAGGUGUAACGAUUUGCGCGCUGUCUCGGAGAGAGGCUCGGCGAAAUAGAAUUGUCUGUGAAGAUGCGGACUAC
This 1233-nucleotide ribosomal RNA is filed under the name marine metagenome. Its description in RNAcentral is "bacterial LSU rRNA". It matches the Rfam family "Bacterial large subunit ribosomal RNA", at positions 810 to 2069 of the family's 2925-position model. The record is from RNAcentral.